This is a non-coding RNA of Stegodyphus mimosarum, 73 nucleotides long. Lineage: Eukaryota; Metazoa; Arthropoda; Arachnida; Araneae; Eresidae. The record is from Rfam.
GCCUUUGUGGUGUAGUGGUCAGCACGCUCGACGCGUAACCGAGAGGUCCGUGGUUCGAUUCCCGGCGAAGGCG